UUCGCAAUGCCCGAAAGGGUGACGAUGCGACGCCGCGUGAGCGAAGAAGGCCCUAGGGUUGUAAAGCUCUGUCGAGGGUUAUGAAAUAUAGAUGGGUUAAUACCCCAUUUAUUUGACAAAAGCUCAAAAGGAAGCCACGGCUAACUCUGUGCCAGCAGCCGCGGUAAUACAGAGGUGGCGAGCGUUGUUCGGUAUUAUUGGGCGUAAAGAGCAAGUAGGUGGCUUUGUAAGUCAGGUGUGAAAGCCUUCUGUUCAAAGGAAGAACGGCAUCUGAAACUGCAGAUCUUGAGUGUAGGAGGGGAGAGUGGAACUUCUGGUGGAGCGGUGAAAUGCGUAGAUAUCAGAAGGAACGUCGGCGGCGAAAGCGACUCUCUGGCCUAUUACUGACACCGAGGUGCGAAAGUUAGGGGAGCAAACGGGAUUAGAUACCCCGGUAGUCCUAACCGUAAACGAUGGGCACUAAGUAGAGGGGUUUU
This 476-nucleotide ribosomal RNA is filed under the name uncultured anaerobic ammonium-oxidizing bacterium. Its description in RNAcentral is "bacterial SSU rRNA". It matches the Rfam family "Bacterial small subunit ribosomal RNA", at positions 365 to 832 of the family's 1533-position model. The record is from RNAcentral.